Molecule: long non-coding RNA, 3820 nt
Filed under: Gossypium barbadense (sea-island cotton)
Lineage: Eukaryota; Viridiplantae; Streptophyta; Magnoliopsida; Malvales; Malvaceae
Description: long non-coding RNA (GBAR_LNC023009)
Source: RNAcentral
AAGAAAUAGCCUUUAGUUUUGCGAUAGGCUCGAGGUUUGACCCUUUCAUUUCUCUGUAGCUUCUAGUCAGGCUGGCUUGGGCUUUUGGCAUGUUGAGCAGUUAAAUAGGUGACAAUCAAAGAUAAUGUGUUGUCCUUUCUGUUAACACUAGCUGAUAUCUGAUAUUUGAUCAACAUUAAGUGAAACGUGAUAACAAAAUAUCAAAAGUUUUAAUUAGAGAAUCAUGAAAAUCUUCAGCUAUGAUUAUAGUUUUUGUUUGCAAAACUAUAAUCUGAGGUUGAAAGUUUUAGCUGUUUAACCUCUUAGUUUGAUUUCUAUUUGCUAAUGUUAAUUUAUGUUAUUGUUUUCUGUAUGAAUCAUGCAUUCACCUCGUCAGUUGCAUGAGAGAAUGACCUAGUUUUAUUAUUUAUCUGUUUGGGGGCAGGUUCACACAAAUAUAUUCUUGCUGUUUCUUUGGGUUAAUAUGUUAAUUAUUUUCUGCUAGCUUUAAGCUUAUUUGACUCUGCUAGCUUUAAGUUUAUUUGACUUUCAUUUGCGCUAACAUUAUGUUUGUUUGCCUUUUUUUUGUUUGUAGGUCUUAGCUUUUAGGGACAUAUCUCCCCGGGCUCCUACGCACAUUUUAAUUAUUCCAAAAUCAAAGGAUGGCCUAACUGUACAAUUUUUUUUUUCUCCUCAUGACUAACUGAGCAGUAAAGAUUUAUGCCCUCUAUCAUAGAGGAAACUAUAAUUAUGGCUGGGUAUUAAUUUGGAAAAAAAGUAUGGAGUAUUGUUAAAAGAAUGCUGCUCAAAUUUUGUCAAUUUCAUUUGCCUUUUGCGUUUUGCUCACUCUUGAUGGUGUAUGAGGAAAAGUAAGAGAAGGAAAAUAGGAGUGAAAUUAAAUGGAAAUUGUAUCGAGAAAUUCUGGUGGUAAAGACUAAGAGAGUCUUAGUGGUUAUAAGAAGGUGGGGAACUGAAAGUACAUCAAUGCUGAGGAAAACCUUAAAACUUGAUAUGCAAGUAUUGAUAGGUAUAGGCCAUAAAUCUAUGAGAUAAAUUGAGCUUCUAAAUAUAUCCAUACAAUGAAAAACCCUAAUAAAAGCUUAAAGCAAUAUCCAUUAUUCAUCCUUGUUGGAAGAAAUUGUCUUUAGAGUUAAAUUGCAUAUACCCCUCCUUCGUUGUGUCAAAAUAGAUGACCUUUCCCAAUGAACAGAAAGUAUGUCACCGAGUCUAGAAUUAAAAACCUCAUCACCAAGUUAUUUCAAUCCAUCAACUUAUUGCAAUCACUAAAAAACUUGUAAGGUGUGUAAUGAAACAAACAUAAGGCUCAAAGAUGUCCGAUAAAAGAACUUAGUGUUAGAAUUUGCAAUUUGUGUAUCCAAGGCUUGUUCAUUUGUUUUCUAUGUCAUAAUCAUGUUUAAGGUGUCAUGUAUUUAUUAUAAGUUUUGACAUUUUAAAAUGAUUGGUGCUAUAUUGAUUUUGAUAUGUUUCUGUGCUUGUGUAAUAUUGUAUUUUAGCUAUUUUUCUUGUGUCGUGUACAAUAUUACCAGGUCUGUUUAGUAACAAUUUUUUCUCUAAAGGUUUCUCUUUUUAGGACAGGACGUCGGCCAUUCAUAUUAACCCAAGGUAUCUCUCUCUACAAUCUCAUGUGAAUUUUCUACAGUCUCUCUCUACAAUUUCUGCUGUCGGCAAGUGUUAUCCCAGCAGUAAGUGUCCUAAAUUUCUUUUGCUGGACAAGUUAUUCAGGCAACACAAAUAAGACCGCUUGAAAUGUCAAGCUGAUAAUCACCUGCAUCUAUGACCUCCAUGCUCUGCUCUUUUGCAACAGGAAUUUAGCAAUAUUUUUGUAUGUCUCUUGAAAUUAUCUUCAAUCUUAUUUUCACGCCUGAGUCACCCAUUCAUUUCUUUCAGUGGUAUGUUUUCAGUGCUUUAUUCGAUAUGUAGGUUUCUCUACCAAUGCAUCAUGUGCAAAUUUGAAAGGACAUGCUAAUGUGUUUUUACCAGGGAACUAUAUCUAACUCCUUGUGCUAUUGCAGAUGGAUAUAACUUCCAAUUUGUUUUUAUCUUUCCUUUUCUUUUUGCUACUAUCUCGUGCUUUGAGUAGUCUUUACAUGCAUCUCACCUUUUAACCUGCUUUUCUUGCAUAACACAAUUAAUGAGCUAAAACAUACAGGAACAAGCUCAGUUAACAUCUGUAGAUCAAAUGAGAGGGGGAAAUAUAAAAUUCGAUAUGUAGGUUUCUCUACCAAUGCAUCAUGUGCAAAUUUGAAAGGACAUGCUAAUGUGUUUUUACCAGGGAACUAUAUCUAACUCCUUGUGCUAUUGCAGAUGGAUAUAACUUCCAAUUUGUUUUUAUCUUUCCUUUUCUUUUUGCUACUAUCUCGUGCUUUGAGUAGUCUUUACAUGCAUCUCACCUUUUAACCUGCUUUUCUUGCAUAACACAAUUAAUGAGCUAAAACAUACAGGAACAAGCUCAGUUAACAUCUGUAGAUCAAAUGAGAGGGGGAAAUAUAGAAAGUUUGGCUGCAAUUCAGCAGACUAGGAUGCUUGCACAUACAUUCUCUCAAAACAGUGAUCCUAAGUUUCGGGUUUUAGUUUGGCUAAAUACUUGCAAUGUGUCAAGAUAGCUCUUAAUGAUAUAAUCGUUAUUAUGCAUGAGUUAAUAUAGGCACUUUUGUUCUGUAUGUUUUGGGGCAUGCAGAAUUCAUAAUUUCUUCAAUUUGUAUCCAAGAUGAGUCGCGGUGAACUUAUCAUUGAUGAUAAUCAGGUCAAACCAGCAUCAGAGAACUUGGCAACAGAAUAUCAGCAACAGUACAAUGGAGGUGCUUCUUGUGGAUGCUAAAGAAGCUUAUAGAUUAAUAUGUCCUGAUAAUCAGUCAUAAAUUCCUUUUAGCAGUUUCCUCGUCCUUUUCUUCUGCCUUGCCUACGUAGACUAAAAUGGAACUAACAUCACUGACCUUAGGUAGUAAUCUCAUUCACCAACCCUAGGUGGUUGAAACUAGUUUUGAUGAUUUGAGAAUGUCCCAAAUGAUAAUGAUGGUUUGGUUAGUGCAAUUAUCUAUAUAUCUACUAUAAUUUAGCAAAUAAAGUGUGAAUGACUAAUGAUUCUGUAUUAUUACAUCUUCAGUUGAACUUUUAAAUCAACUAAACCUUUAAAUCUUAAAUGAGAUUAUCUAUAUUUGUUAUUUAUAAAAUAUGCUACUCACUGUUUUGGUGGUUCUUAGUAUUUCUAUGGGCCAAACCAAUGGGUCAUGGAGUUUGCUGCUAAAAUGAGCAGUGAGAGCUUAUUGAUUAUAAUAAGUUAGAAGAUAAACUGUCACUGAUGAUUCUUGUAAUUGUAUAUCUCUGUUUGGUAUUAAACCAGCUAAAAACAUUGUAAUUUGUAUAAAACUUCUUAUUAUACAGAAUCUGCUACUCUGGUUGGUGUUUCUUUGAUUUUCUUCAACCUGAUCAAUGGGCUGAGGAGUUUGCUACUGUAUGAGAACAACUAGGGUGUUUUGAUUUGUUUAUUCAGGAUACAAAGUGCAACUAAUGAUUCUGCGUGUUAUGUAUUAUUUUGAGACUCUUAAACCGUGCGAUGCUCUUAUUCUUAUUUGAAAUAUUCUAAUUUUCUUCAUUUCAUUUAAUGUUCUUGACUUGAUGGUUAAUAGGUUUUCCGUGGACCUGACGAUUGGGCCAAUGAGUUUGGUGCUGAAAGAUUGCAACAAGUCUGUCGAUGAUCAAUGGGUCAAUGAAUUCUCAAAGUUGCAUGUUGAUGACUGGGCAGAAGAAUUUGAUCGUCAAGCUGGUGAGGGGGCUUUGGGAGAUUGUUCGUGUGAUAACUGGGCAAAUUCAUAUGAUGAGU